AAAUUGAAGAGUUUGAUCAUGGCUCAGAUUGAACGCUGGCGGCAGGCCUAACACAUGCAAGUCGAACGGUAACAGGAAGCAGCUUGCUGCUUUGCUGACGAGUGGCGGACGGGUGAGUAAUGUCUGGGAAACUGCCUGAUGGAGGGGGAUAACUACUGGAAACGGUGGCUAAUACCGCAUAACGUCGCAAGACCAAAGAGGGGGACCUUCGGGCCUCUUGCCAUCAGAUGUGCCCAGAUGGGAUUAGCUGGUUGGUGAGGUAACGGCUCACCAAGGCGACGAUCCCUAGCUGGUCUGAGAGGAUGACCAGCCACACUGGAACUGAGACACGGUCCAGACUCCUACGGGAGGCAGCAGUGGGGAAUAUUGCACAAUGGGCGCAAGCCUGAUGCAGCCAUGCCGCGUGUAUGAAGAAGGCCUUCGGGUUGUAAAGUACUUUCAGCGGGGAGGAAGGUGUUGUGGUUAAUAACCGCAGCAAUUGACGUUACCCGCAGAAGAAGCACCGGCUAACUCCGUGCCAGCAGCCGCGGUAAUACGGAGGGUGCAAGCGUUAAUCGGAAUUACUGGGCGUAAAGCGCACGCAGGCGGUCUGUCAAGUCGGAUGUGAAAUCCCCGGGCUCAACCUGGGAACUGCAUUCGAAACUGGCAGGCUUGAGUCUUGUAGAGGGGGGUAGAAUUCCAGGUGUAGCGGUGAAAUGCGUAGAGAUCUGGAGGAAUACCGGUGGCGAAGGCGGCCCCCUGGACAAAGACUGACGCUCAGGUGCGAAAGCGUGGGGAGCAAACAGGAUUAGAUACCCUGGUAGUCCACGCCGUAAACGAUGUCUACUUGGAGGUUGUGCCCUUGAGGCGUGGCUUCCGGAGCUAACGCGUUAAGUAGACCGCCUGGGGAGUACGGCCGCAAGGUUAAAACUCAAAUGAAUUGACGGGGGCCCGCACAAGCGGUGGAGCAUGUGGUUUAAUUCGAUGCAACGCGAAGAACCUUACCUGGUCUUGACAUCCACAGAACUUUCCAGAGAUGGAUUGGUGCCUUCGGGAACUGUGAGACAGGUGCUGCAUGGCUGUCGUCAGCUCGUGUUGUGAAAUGUUGGGUUAAGUCCCGCAACGAGCGCAACCCUUAUCCUUUGUUGCCAGCGGUUAGGCCGGGAACUCAAAGGAGACUGCCAGUGAUAAACUGGAGGAAGGUGGGGAUGACGUCAAGUCAUCAUGGCCCUUACGACCAGGGCUACACACGUGCUACAAUGGCGCAUACAAAGAGAAGCGACCUCGCGAGAGCAAGCGGACCUCAUAAAGUGCGUCGUAGUCCGGAUUGGAGUCUGCAACUCGACUCCAUGAAGUCGGAAUCGCUAGUAAUCGUGGAUCAGAAUGCCACGGUGAAUACGUUCCCGGGCCUUGUACACACCGCCCGUCACACCAUGGGAGUGGGUUGCAAAAGAAGUAGGUAGCUUAACCUUCGGGAGGGCGCUUACCACUUUGUGAUUCAUGACUGGGGUGAAGUCGUAACAAGGUAACCGUAGGGGAACCUGCGGUUGGAUCACCUCCUUA
This 1542-nucleotide ribosomal RNA is filed under the name Salmonella enterica. RNAcentral describes it as "16S ribosomal RNA". It matches the Rfam family "Bacterial small subunit ribosomal RNA". RNAcentral also lists the same sequence under 1 other name. Lineage: Bacteria; Pseudomonadati; Pseudomonadota; Gammaproteobacteria; Enterobacterales; Enterobacteriaceae. The record is from RNAcentral.